CCUACGGGGGGCAGCAGUGAGGAAUAUUGGUCAAUGGGCGCGAGCCUGAACCAGCCAAGUCGCGUGAGGGAAGACGGUCCUAUGGAUUGUAAACCUCUUUUGUCGGGGAGCAAAAGACGCCACGCGUUGCGUUCCGAGAGUACCCGAAGAAAAAGCAUCGGCUAACUCCGUGCCAGCAGCCGCGGUAAUACGGAGGAUGCGAGCGUUAUCCGGAUUUAUUGGGUUUAAAGGGUGCGCAGGCGGAAGAUCAAGUCAGCGGUAAAAUUGAGAGGCUCAACCUCUUCGAGCCGUUGAAACUGGUUGUCUUGAGUGAGCGUGAAGUAUGCGGAAUGCGUGGUGUAGCGGUGAAAUGCAUAGAUAUCACGCAGAACUCCGAUUGCGAAGGCAGCAUACCGGCGCGCAACUGACGCUGAUGCACGAAAGUGUGGGUAUCGAACAGGAUUAGAUACCCGAGUAGUC
RNAcentral lists this ribosomal RNA (459 nucleotides) under uncultured bacterium. RNAcentral's name for it is "partial 16S ribosomal RNA". It matches the Rfam family "Bacterial small subunit ribosomal RNA", at positions 338 to 795 of the family's 1533-position model. The record is from RNAcentral.